RNAcentral lists this ribosomal RNA (305 nucleotides) under uncultured bacterium. RNAcentral's name for it is "bacterial SSU rRNA". It matches the Rfam family "Bacterial small subunit ribosomal RNA", at positions 335 to 638 of the family's 1533-position model. The record is from RNAcentral.
UUUCCUACGGGGGGCAGCAGUGAGGAAUAUUGGUCAAUGGCCGAGAGGCUGAACCAGCCAAGUCGCGUGAGGGAUGACGGCCCUACGGGUUGUAAACCUCUUUUGUCGGGGAGCAAAGAGAGUCACGUGUGGCUCACUGAGAGUACCCGAAGAAAAAGCAUCGGCUAACUCCGUGCCAGCAGCCGCGGUAAUACGGAGGAUGCGAGCGUUAUCCGGAUUUAUUGGGUUUAAAGGGUGCGCAGGCGGAAUGUCAAGUCAGCGGUAAAAUUUCGGGGCUCAACCCCGCCGUGCCGUUGAAACUGGCG